Non-coding RNA from Pelobates cultripes (western spadefoot toad), 228 nucleotides. The record is from the annotation of a GenBank genome assembly. NCBI's taxonomy places the organism in Eukaryota, Metazoa, Chordata, Amphibia, Anura, Pelobatidae.
CUCGAAGGGAGUGGUGGCCCUAUGUAGUGCUGGUCCCUGCGGGAGGGAUGUAAUGUAACUCCGGAUCUGUUUGUACUUGAGGCGUAUUAGGAAAGUGUGUUCUUCGCUCCCCCUCAGACCCUUGAGUGUCUUUAUGCCGUCCGUGGUUUGUAUGUGUCUGAGUCUGGGUAGCGGGUCCUGUAUUAGGUCUUUGAAUGCGUUCGGGUCCAUCCCCGGCAUGAACUCAGG